RNAcentral lists this ribosomal RNA (115 nucleotides) under Pteropus alecto (black flying fox). Lineage: Eukaryota; Metazoa; Chordata; Mammalia; Chiroptera; Pteropodidae. The record is from RNAcentral.
GACUACAGCCAUGCCACCCUGAACAAGCCUGAUCCCAUCUGAUCUCAGAAGCUAAGCAGGGUCGGGCCUGGUUAGUACUUGAGAGACUACCUAGGAAGAUUAGGUGCUGUAGGAG